Molecule: long non-coding RNA, 2103 nt
Organism: Phasianus colchicus (ring-necked pheasant)
Lineage: Eukaryota; Metazoa; Chordata; Aves; Galliformes; Phasianidae
Source: Ensembl
GUGCCCCACGGUGCCCCACAGCGCAUUUCCUCCCCCGCAGCAAAACCCUCCAUGCAAAUUUCGUUUCCGCUUUCCCCAGACGCCGCCCCACAGCCGCGGGGCACAGCCUGCCCCUAUAGGGCACAGCUUUUCCCUAUGGGGCACAGCCUGCCCCUAUAGGGCACCGCCUUCCGCUAUAGGGCACAGCCUUCCCCUAUCCUUCCCCCAUAGGACACAGCCUUCCCCUAUAUGACACAGUUUUCCCCUAUAGGGCACAGCUUUCCCCUAUAGGACACAGUUUUCCCCCAUAGAGCACAGCCUUCCCCUAUAGGACAGUUUUCCCCCAUAGAGCACAGCCUUCCCCUAUAGGGCACAGCUUUUCCCUAUGGGGCACCGCCUUCCCCCAUAGCACACCGCCUUCCCCAUAGGGCAGGGCGUUCCCCCAUAUCUGUGGGGCGGCGCUGAGCCGCGCUCCACCCUUUCCCCUGAAAAAACCCCACAACGACGGAAGGAAACGCGCGGCCUCCACCGCCCUCCCGAGGGGCAGAAGUGUGGGGCGGGAUGUGGGGCGGCCCCAUGGAUGUGUGGGGCGGGAGGCGGAAAACCCCGUGAGCGUCACAUGGGAGAGGGGGGGAGGGGGGAGGGAAGCGCAGUGCGGGGAGAUGGGGGGCGGGGGGGCCGCCCCAUAGCCAGGGGACCCCGGGACCUAUGGGAUCUAUGGGAUCUAUGGGAUCUAUGGGGCACCCAGUGGCUGCGCAGACCCCAAUGUCUGUGGGGGACCCCGAAAUCCAUGGGGCGCCCCACGGCCGCAGGGACCCCCGGGCCACGUGGGGAGCCCGUAAUGAGCGCCUAUAGGGGACCCCAAUACCCACGGGGGACCCCAACAAACACCUAUGGGACCCCAACACCCAUGGGACCCCAACAAACACCUAUGGGACCCCAACACCUAUGGGACCCCAACAAACACCUAUGGGACCCCAAAACCUAAGGGACCCCAAAACCUGAGGGACCCCAACAUCUAUGGGACCCCAACAUCUAUGGGACCCCAAAACCUAUGGGACCCCAACAUCUAUGGGAUCCCAAUAAACACCUAUGGGACCCCUACAGCUAUGGGAUCCCAAAACCUAAGGGACCCCAAUGUCUACGGGGCCCCAACAUCUACAGGACCCCAACACCAUGGGACCCCAACAUCUAUGGGACCCCAACAAACAUCUAUGGGACCCCAACAUCUAUGGGACCCCAAUAAACACCUAUGGGACCCCAAAACCUAUGGGACCCCAACAGCUAUGGGACCCCAAAACGUACAGGACCCCAACACCUAUGGGAUCCCAAUAAACACCUAUGGGACCCCAACAUCUGUGGGACCCCAACACCUAUGGGACCCCAACAAACACCUAUGGGACCCCUGGACCUAUGGGACCCCAAUAUCGGGAAACCCCGACAUCCGUGGGGACCCCAAAGUCCACGGGGAGCCCCGAUCCCGAGGGGGGACCCCAGUGUCGGUGGGUGACCCCAAUGUCGGUGCCGACCCCAAUGUCGGUGCUGACCCCAAAGUUUGUAGCUGACCCCAAAGUCGGUACUGACCCCAAUAAUGGUGCUGACCCCAAAAUCUGUGGCUGACCCCAAAGUCGGAGCUGACCCCAAAGUCGAUGGGUGACCCCAAAGUCUGUGCUGACCCCAAAGUUUGUGGCGGACCCCAAUGACGGUGCUGACCCCAAAGUCGGCGGGUGACCCCAAAAUCUGUGGCUGACCCCAAUGUCGGUACCGACCCCAAAGUCUGUGCUGACCCCAAAAUCUGUGGCAGACCUCAAUGAUCGGUGCUGACCCCAAUGUCGGUACCGACCCCAAAGUCGGCAGGUGACCCCAAUCCCUGCGGCUGACCCCAAAGUCGGAGCUGACCCCAAAGUCGAUGGGUGACCUCAAAGUCUGUGCUGACCCCAAAAUCUGUGGCUAACCCCAAAGUCGGAGCUGACCCCAAAGUCUGUGCUGACCCCAAAGUUUGUGCUGGACCCCAAUGACGGUGCUGACCCCAAUGUCGGUACCGACCCCAAAGUCUGUGCUGACCCCAAAAUCUGUGGCUGAGCCCAAAGUCGGGGCUGACCCCAAAAUCUGUGGCUGACCCCA